This 485-nucleotide ribosomal RNA is filed under the name uncultured bacterium. Its description in RNAcentral is "partial 16S ribosomal RNA". It matches the Rfam family "Bacterial small subunit ribosomal RNA", at positions 28 to 523 of the family's 1533-position model. The record is from RNAcentral.
GACGAACGCUGGCGGCGUGCUUAACACAUGCAAGUCGAACGGUGAAAGCGGAGCUUGCUCCGCUGGAUCAGUGGCGAACGGGUGAGUAACACGUGGGCAACCUGCCCCUCACUUCGGGAUAACCCCGGGAAACCGGGGCUAAUACCGGAUAUGACCUCCUUGGGCAUCCUUGGAGGUGGAAAGUUUUUCGGUGAGGGAUGGGCCCGCGGCCUAUCAGCUUGUUGGUGAGGUAGUGGCUCACCAAGGCGACGACGGGUAGCCGGCCUGAGAGGGCGACGGGCCACACUGGGACUGAGACACGGCCCAGACUCCUACGGGAGGCAGCAGUGGGGAAUAUUGCGCAAUGGGCGAAAGCCUGACGCAGCAACGCCGCGUGCGGGAUGACGGCCUUCGGGUUGUAAACCGCUUUCAGCAGGGAAGAAGCCGCAAGGUGACGGUACCUGCAGAAGAAGCACCGGCUAACUACGUGCCAGCCGCCGCCGUAA